GAGAGCAGGCAAAAGAAAGGUGAAACCCUAGCUUCAAGAAAUCAAGAAUCAAAGCCAAAUACAUAAGAUAAUCCGGUGCAUGAACCCUCCUUGCGAAAAUCUAACCCUAAUUUGUGUGAAGGAGGAAGGUUCCAAUACUAGGAAAUCGGAAGGUUCACAAGAUCGAGGUAAAACUCCACUUUAGGCGAAUUGGAGAUAUGGAGCGAGCACGUGUCCAUGCUUUAUUAUACCAAGCGCUUCCGCUAGAUAUAUGCACACUUUUUGGGUCCGUGUCUUGUUAUUUUGUUUAAUCUUGUUAGAAGUCAUACACUUAAAAACUUGUUGUCUUCGUUUUGGGAAGUUUAAAGUUAAAUGGGUCGUAGAUUGUCGUUAGUUUAAUAACUUAAAAACAGGGGGCAUGCUCGUUUUACGAACGGGUCAUGC
This 423-nucleotide long non-coding RNA is filed under the name Helianthus annuus (common sunflower). RNAcentral's name for it is "sRNA HanXRQr2_Chr16g0770201". The record is from RNAcentral. Lineage: Eukaryota; Viridiplantae; Streptophyta; Magnoliopsida; Asterales; Asteraceae.